This 599-nucleotide ribosomal RNA is filed under the name Vermamoeba vermiformis. Its description in RNAcentral is "SSU rRNA". It matches the Rfam family "Eukaryotic small subunit ribosomal RNA", at positions 587 to 1187 of the family's 1831-position model. Lineage: Eukaryota; Tubulinea; Echinamoebida; Vermamoebidae. The record is from RNAcentral.
AGCUCCAAUAGCGUAUAUUAAAGUUGUUGCAGUUAAAAAGCUCGUAGUUGGAUUUCGGAAGGUCCUUAGCAAUCCGCCCCUUCGGGGAGCGGGUUGCUGGCCUCCUAUGUUCCUAACGGCCCUCAUCCGCGAGGGUGGGGAAUCAACCGCUAGGAUCGUUUACUUUGAGGAAAUUAGAGUGUUCAAAGCAGGCGUAACUCGCCUCCGAAUACGUUAGCAUGGGAUAAUGGAAUACGACUUCGGUCUUGUUUCGUUGGUUUCGCUUGGCUGAAGUAAUGAUUGAUAGGGACAGUUGGGGGCAUUAGUAUUUAGUUGUCAGAGGUGAAAUUCUAGGAUUUACUAAAGACUGACCAAUGCGAAAGCAUUUGCCAAGGAUGUUUUCAUUAAUCAAGAACGAAAGUAGGGGGAUCGAAGACGAUCAGAUACCGUCGUAGUCUCUACCGUAAACUAUGCCGACCAGGGAUCCGGAGAGUUUGCAUGGAUGACUCCCCGGGCACCUUGUGAGAAAUCAUAAGUGUUUGGGUUUUGGGGGGAGUAUGGUCGCAAGGCUGAAACUUAAAGGAAUUGACGGAAGGGCACCACCAGGAGUGGAACCUGCG